CAGGGUAUAACUAUUUAGAAUAAGUAUUUCAUUUACACUGAAAAAAUAUCUGUGCAAUUCAGUUUAUCUUGA
Molecule: transfer RNA, 72 nt
Filed under: Songmachilis xinxiangensis
Lineage: Eukaryota; Metazoa; Arthropoda; Insecta; Archaeognatha; Machilidae
Description: tRNA-Val
Rfam family: tRNA
About the family: Transfer RNA (tRNA) molecules are approximately 80 nucleotides in length. Their secondary structure includes four short double-helical elements and three loops (D, anti-codon, and T loops).
Source: RNAcentral